CAGCUAAUGGACUGCAUGACCCUUGUGCUGUGGAAUCACUCUCCCUGAGAUUCAACUUCUUUUUCUGCUUCAGCUUCUAGCAAGGCAUCAUAAAUAACAGGCCUAUAUGAAUCUAACUAUUACAUUUGCCUGAAAGUCUUCACUGAGGACUCUCUUCACUAGAUUCAGUACACAAAGAACAUACUUUUGUCAAGAUUCUAUUUUGCCACAACACUUCCUUUUCGUGCCGAACAUGCAUGAGCUGCACCGCGAUCCUGCGCUCCUGCUGGGACUGACGCAUCAGCCGGUGAAUCAGCUGCUCUUCCCGAUAGGCCUCCUGUGAACACCAGCAUGGGAGCCAAUGACUUACCCAAGCCAAGUCUGGAUUAUCCACUGGACUCAGAAGUCAACGUGCAAAUAAUGUGUGAAAGAAAAAGAGAAGAAUGCAAAAAUGGCCACAUGUUCUUCCCUUCAGUUAUUCAUAGCUCUGCAUUGUGCCCAUAUACAAAUAUCCAACAGAGGAAUCUAUUGUUCUACUCCUUAAAUAUGACAUAUGGUGUGACCAUUAACUUGAACUGAUAACCGAGACAUCAGCCAAAAACAACAACAACAACAACAACAACAACAAAAGCCAUGAAACAGCAACAAAAACCAAAGCAACAACCAUAAAAACACCAAAAGGCCCUUGAGGUUUGACCUCUAAAACUCUUGUUACAGUCACUGAAUACAUGGCCUGAGCUACUAGAAAAUGAAAACUUUAAGAGAAGGUACUUUGCUUCUGAGCAGGACCUCAUCAGGUUUUGGGGGUCAGCCAGCUCUAGCAAGCCACCAGCUGAUGCCUUAACAGCCCAGCCAAGAGGAGCAGAGAAGUACAGCUGAGCCCACCCGCUGG
Molecule: non-coding RNA, 871 nt
Organism: Peromyscus maniculatus bairdii (prairie deer mouse)
Lineage: Eukaryota; Metazoa; Chordata; Mammalia; Rodentia; Cricetidae
Source: RefSeq, a predicted model, not a curated record